CAGCUGGUUGGUGGGGUAAAAGCCUACCAAGGCUGCGAUCGGUAGCUGGUCUGAGAGGACGAUCAGCCACACUGGGAUUGAGAACGGCCCAGACUCCUACGGGGGGCAGCAGUGAGGAAUUUUCGGCAAUGGGGGCAACCCUGACCGAGCAACGCCGCGUGCAGGACGAAGGUCUUCGGAUCGUAAACUGCUUUUCUCUGGGAAGAGCGAGGACGGUACCAGAGGAAGAAGCCCCGGCUAACUACGUGCCAGCAGCCGCGGUAAUACGUAGGGGGCGAGCGUUGUCCGGAGUUACUGGGCGUAAAGGGCAUGUAGGCGGUCCGAUCAGUUUGGGGUUACAGCUCCCGGCUCAACUGGGAGAGCGCCUCGAAGACGGUGGGACUUGAGAGCCAGAGAGGGACACAGAAUUCCGGGUGUAGUGGUGAAAUGCGUAGAUAUCCGGAGGAAUACCAAAGGCGAAGGCAGUGUCCUGGCUGAUUUCUGACGCUGAGGUGC
Molecule: ribosomal RNA, 495 nt
Filed under: uncultured bacterium
Lineage: Bacteria
Description: SSU rRNA
Rfam family: Bacterial small subunit ribosomal RNA
Source: RNAcentral